UGGGGAAUAUUGCACAAUGGGGGAAACCCUGAUGCAGCGACGCCGCGUGAACGAAGAAGGUAUUCGUAUCGUAAAGUUCUGUCCUAUGGGAAGAUAAUGACAGUACCAUAGAAGAAAGCUCCGGCUAAAUACGUGCCAGCAGCCGCGGUAAUACGUAUGGAGCGAGCGUUGUCCGGAAUUAUUGGGCGUAAAGGGUACGCAGGCGGUUUAAUAAGUCGAAUGUUAAAGAUCGGGGCUCAACCCCGCAAAGCAUUGGAAACUGAUAAACUUGAGUAGUGGAGAGGAAAGUGGAAUUCCUAGUGUAGUGGUGAAAUACGUAGAUAUUAGGAGGGAUAGCAGAAGCGAAGGCGACUUUCUGGACACAAACUGACGCUGAGGUACGAAAGCGUGGGGAGCAAACAGG
RNAcentral lists this ribosomal RNA (403 nucleotides) under bacterium. Its description in RNAcentral is "partial 16S ribosomal RNA". It matches the Rfam family "Bacterial small subunit ribosomal RNA", at positions 355 to 776 of the family's 1533-position model. The record is from RNAcentral.